Suricata suricatta (meerkat) is the source of this 129-nucleotide small nucleolar RNA. Lineage: Eukaryota; Metazoa; Chordata; Mammalia; Carnivora; Herpestidae. The record is from Ensembl.
CUUCCCAUUGAUUUGCUGCUCCGGUCUUCCAGUGACCGGAGCGGUUAUACGCGUGGGAGACAACAACGUAGGCCGUUGUCAGCGGAGGUGGAGUGACCGUUCCAUCUCGUCUGCGCGGCCCAGACAUCG